This 495-nucleotide ribosomal RNA is filed under the name uncultured bacterium. Its description in RNAcentral is "partial 16S ribosomal RNA". It matches the Rfam family "Bacterial small subunit ribosomal RNA", at positions 28 to 507 of the family's 1533-position model. The record is from RNAcentral.
GACGAACGCUGGCGGCGUGCCUAAUACAUGCAAGUAGAACGCUGAAGGAGGAGCUUGCUCUUCUGGACGAGUUGCGAACGGGUGAGUAACGCGUAGGUAACCUGCCUGGUAGCGGGGGAUAACUAUUGGAAACGAUAGCUAAUACCGCAUAACAGUAGAUGUUGCAUGACAUUUGCUUAAAAGGUGCAAUUGCACCACUACCAGAUGGACCUGCGUUGUAUUAGCUAGUUGGUGGGGUAACGGCUCACCAAGGCGACGAUACAUAGCCGACCUGAGAGGGGGAUCGGCCCCACUGGGACUGAGACACGGCCCAGACUCCUACGGGAGGCAGCAGUAGGGAAUCUUCGGCAAUGGACGGAAGUCUGACCGAGCAACGCCGCGUGAGUGAAGAAGGUUUUCGGAUCGUAAAGCUCUGUUGUAAGAGAAGAACGAGUGUGAGAGUAGAAAGUUCACACUGUGACGGUAUCUUACCAGAAAGGGACGGCUAACUACGUG